GGUUGAUCCUAGCCAGUAGUCAUAUGCUUGUCUUAAAGAUUAAGCCAUGCAUGUCUAAGUAUAAGCUUUUAUAUGGUGAAACUGCCAAUGGCUCAGUAAAACAGUUAUGGUUUAUUUGAUGUUUGUUUCUACAUGGAUAACCGUGCUAAUUGUAGGGCUAAUACAUGCUCGGGCUGUUUACAGUUGCGUUUAUUAGACCUAAAACCUCCCCGCUUUUGCGGUGUUUCGGUGAUUCAUAAUAAAUUAGCGAAUCGCAUGGCUUUGCCGGCGAUGUAUCAUUCAAGUUUCUGACCCAUCAGCUUUGGACGGUAGGGUAUUGGCCUACCGGGGCAACGACGGGUAACGGGGAAUUAGGGUUCGAUUCCGGAGAGGGAGCCUGAGAAACGGCUACCACAUCUAAGGAAGGCAGCAGGC
RNAcentral lists this ribosomal RNA (414 nucleotides) under Theileria equi. RNAcentral describes it as "SSU rRNA". It matches the Rfam family "Eukaryotic small subunit ribosomal RNA", at positions 6 to 433 of the family's 1831-position model. Lineage: Eukaryota; Apicomplexa; Aconoidasida; Piroplasmida; Theileriidae. The record is from RNAcentral.